UACGAAGGGGGCUAGCGUUGCUCGGAAUCACUGGGCGUAAAGGGUGCGUAGGCGGGUCUUUAAGUCAGGGGUGAAAUCCUGGAGCUCAACUCCAGAACUGCCUUUGAUACUGAGGAUCUUGAGUUCGGGAGAGGUGAGUGGAACUGCGAGUGUAGAGGUGAAAUUCGUAGAUAUUCGCAAGAACACCAGUGGCGAAGGCGGCUCACUGGCCCGAUACUGACGCUCAGGCACGAAAGCAUGGGGAUCAAACAGG
Molecule: ribosomal RNA, 253 nt
Filed under: uncultured bacterium
Lineage: Bacteria
Description: partial 16S ribosomal RNA
Rfam family: Bacterial small subunit ribosomal RNA
Source: RNAcentral